RNAcentral lists this ribosomal RNA (986 nucleotides) under Leotiomycetes sp. RNAcentral describes it as "SSU rRNA". It matches the Rfam family "Eukaryotic small subunit ribosomal RNA", at positions 57 to 1053 of the family's 1831-position model. The record is from RNAcentral. Lineage: Eukaryota; Fungi; Ascomycota; Leotiomycetes.
GUCUAGUAUAGCAAUCUAUACGGUGAAACUGCGAAUGGCUCAUUAAAUCAGUCAUAAUUUAUUUGAUAGUACCAUUCUACUUGGAUAACCGUGGUAAUUCUAGAGCUAAUACAUGCUAAAAACCCCGACUUCGGAAGGGGUGUAUUUAUUAGAUAAAAAACCAAUGCCCUUCGGGGCUCCUUGGUGAUUCAUGAUAACUUAACGAAUCGCAUGGCCUUGUGCCGGCGAUGGUUCAUUCAAAUUUCUGCCCUAUCAACUUUCGAUGGUAGGAUAGUGGCCUACCAUGGUUUCAACGGGUAACGGGGAAUUAGGGUUCUAUUCCGGAGAGGGAGCCUGAGAAACGGCUACCACAUCCAAGGAAGGCAGCAGGCGCGCAAAUUACCCAAUCCCGACACGGGGAGGUAGUGACAAUAAAUACUGAUGCAGAGCUCUUUUGGGUUUUGCAAUUGGAAUGAGUACAAUUUAAAUCCCUUAACGAGGAACAAUUGGAGGGCAAGUCUGGUGCCAGCAGCCGCGGUAAUUCCAGCUCCAAUAGCGUAUAUUAAAGUUGUUGCAGUUAAAAAGCUCGUAGUUGAACCUUGGGCCUGGCUGGCCGGUCCGCCUCACCGCGUGCACUGGUCCGGCCGGGCCUUUCCUUCUGGGGAGCCGCAUGCCCUUCACUGGGUGUGUCGGGGAACCAGGACUUUUACUUUGAAAAAAUUAGAGUGUUCAAAGCAGGCCUAUGCUCGAAUACAUUAGCAUGGAAUAAUAGAAUAGGACGUGUGGUUCUAUUUUGUUGGUUUCUAGGACCGCCGUAAUGAUUAAUAGGGAUAGUCGGGGGCAUCAGUAUUCAAUUGUCAGAGGUGAAAUUCUUGGAUUUAUUGAAGACUAACUACUGCGAAAGCAUUUGCCAAGGAUGUUUUCAUUAAUCAGUGAACGAAAGUUAGGGGAUCGAAGACGAUCAGAUACCGUCGUAGUCUUAACCAUAAACUAUGCCGACUAGGGAU